This 500-nucleotide ribosomal RNA is filed under the name uncultured bacterium. Its description in RNAcentral is "partial 16S ribosomal RNA". It matches the Rfam family "Bacterial small subunit ribosomal RNA", at positions 30 to 523 of the family's 1533-position model. The record is from RNAcentral.
AUUGAACGCUGGCGGAAUGCUUUACACAUGCAAGUCGAACGGCAGCACGGACUUCGGUCUGGUGGCGAGUGGCGAACGGGUGAGUAAUGUAUCGGAACGUGCCCAGUCGUGGGGGAUAACGUAGUGAAAAUUACGCUAAUACCGCAUAUGAUCUAUGGAUGAAAGCGGGGGAUCGCAAGACCUCGCGCGAUUGGAGCGGCCGAUAUCAGAUUAGGUAGUUGGUGGGGUAAAGGCCCACCAAGCCAACGAUCUGUAGCUGGUCUGAGAGGACGACCAGCCCCACUGGAACUGAGACACGGUCCAGACUCCUACGGGAGGCAGCAGUGGGGAAUUUUGGACAAUGGGCGAAAGCCUGAUCCAGCCAUUCCGCGUGCAGGAUGAAGGCCCUCGGGUUGUAAACUGCUUUUGUACAGAACGAAAAGGUUUCUACUAAUACUAGGAGCUCAUGACGGUACUGUAAGAAUAAGCACCGGCUAACUACGUGCCAGCCGCCGCAGUAA